This 72-nucleotide transfer RNA is filed under the name Camelus bactrianus (Bactrian camel). It matches the Rfam family "tRNA". From Rfam's summary of the family: Transfer RNA (tRNA) molecules are approximately 80 nucleotides in length. Their secondary structure includes four short double-helical elements and three loops (D, anti-codon, and T loops). RNAcentral also lists the same sequence under 2 other names. Lineage: Eukaryota; Metazoa; Chordata; Mammalia; Artiodactyla; Camelidae. The record is from Rfam by way of RNAcentral.
GUAGGUAUAGCUCAGCAGGAGAGCGCAUGCUUAGCAUUCACGACGUCCUGGGUUCAAUCCCCAGUCCCUCCA